This 424-nucleotide ribosomal RNA is filed under the name uncultured bacterium. Its description in RNAcentral is "partial 16S ribosomal RNA". It matches the Rfam family "Bacterial small subunit ribosomal RNA", at positions 360 to 776 of the family's 1533-position model. The record is from RNAcentral.
AACUUUGGACAAGGUGGGAAAUCCUGAUGCAGCCAUUGCGCGUGUAUGAUGAAGGCCUUCCGGUUGUAAAGUUCUUUUGGCAGAGAAGAAAAGGUAUCCCCUAAUACGGGAUACUGCUGAUGGUAUUUGCAGAAUAAGCACCGGUGAACUACGUUUAAGCAGUCGCUGUAAUACGUAGGGUGCAAGCGUUAAUCGGAAUUACUGGGCGUAAAGCGUGUGUAGGCGGUUCGGAAAGAAAGAUGUGAAAUCCCAGGGCUCAACCUUGGAACUGCAUUUUUAACUGCCGAGCUAGAGUAUGUCAGAGGGGGGUAGAAUUCCACAUGUAGCAGUGAAAAGCGUAGAUAUGUGGAGGAAUACCGAUGGCGAAGGCAGCCCCCUGGGAUAAUACUGACGCUCAGACACGAAAGCGUGGGGAGCAAACAGG